RNAcentral lists this ribosomal RNA (619 nucleotides) under uncultured fungus. RNAcentral's name for it is "eukaryotic LSU rRNA". The stretch from base 232 to 385 matches the Rfam family "5.8S ribosomal RNA". Lineage: Eukaryota; Fungi. The record is from RNAcentral.
CUUGGUCAUUUAGAGGAAGUAAAAGUCGUAACAAGGUUUCCGUAGGUGAACCUGCGGAAGGAUCAUUAUUGAAAUAAACCUGAUGGGUUGUUGCUGGUUCUCUAGGGAGCAUGUGCACACCUUGUCAUCUUUAUAUCUCCACCUGUGCACUUUUUGUAGACCUUUCAGGUCUAUGUUGCUUCAUUUACCCCAAUGUAUGUUAAUAGAAUGUUGUGCCUAUAUAAUAUAUACAACUUUCAGCAACGGAUCUCUUGGCUCUCGCAUCGAUGAAGAACGCAGCGAAAUGCGAUAAGUAAUGUGAAUUGCAGAAUUCAGUGAAUCAUCGAAUCUUUGAACGCACCUUGCGCUCCUUGGUAUUCCGAGGAGCAUGCCUGUUUGAGUGUCAUUAAUAUAUCAACCUUCUCUUUUUUGAGUUGUUUGGAUGUGGGGGUUUGCUGGCCUCUUAAAUGAUUCAGCUCCCCUGAAAUGCAUUAGCAGAACAACCUGUUCAUUGGCGUGAUAAUUAUCUAUGCUAUUGAAUGUGAGGGCAGUUCAGCUUUCUAACCGUCCUCGGACAAUUCAUCAUUAAUGUGACCUCAAAUCAGGUAGGACUACCCGCUGAACUUAAGCAUAUCAAUAA